CUUGUUAGUGUUUUUCUAAUAUACAAUAAUAUAAUUUUAAAAUACAGUAAUAUAAUUUGUUUUUUAUUAUUUUUUCAUACCUUUUUUUUGUUAGUAAAAUUGUUGUACGUAAAGCAGAACUGAUUUAAUAACUGUUAUUUUUAUUGACUGUUGACAAUUUCAAGAUGUUUUUUUUUUGAUUAUACAAUUUUUUUGUUACCUUUAGUCCAAUAUGCACAGACUACAGCUGUAUCUACCUUUUGUGCUACGCCUGUUCUUUCUACGUGUACUACACCUGUUACCGUCAACUGCGGUUACUUUAAUACCAGGGGUUAAAAAUAAAUAAACACUAAUUAAAAGUUUACAAAGAUUUUACCAAAUUGAUUUGAAAGGUACAUACCUACCUAUCCGUAAUAUGAGGAUCUACAAGAGGAAGGACGGGAGUCGUGCUUAUUGUUCACAUUCAGAAACUCAGUCGUCAGAGGCCCUUCAAUAUUGUCGGAAGGGUACUAUGAGUUUGCUAAAAGCAUCUAAAAAAUUUAAAAUUCCAUACGGGACAUUGCACAACAGAAUGAAAGGUAAACAUGGAAAAAAAGUUGGAGAUCCAGUUGCACUUUCUUUAAAUUGCGAGAGUCACCUUUUAAAGGUAAUAAACGUUCUUUGUGAAAAUGCCUGUUGAUGGAUUAGAUAUUCGUUUAAUGGUCAAACAUCAUCUCGAUCACUCCGGUGUUAAAAAUAGACAGUUUAACAAAAAUUUACCAGGGUUCGAUUAGAUGCUAAGUUUUAUCAAACGCCAUAAGCUGACAACACGCAUUGCUGACAAUGUAAAACUUUCACGCGCAGAGGUUUGUGGACAAACUGUGAAUGGUUACUUCGAUGAAUUAGCGAAGACAUUAAAAGGCGUUGAACCCUGUAACAUUUAUAACUAUGACGAGACUAAUCUUUCGGAUGACCCUGGCGCAAAAUUGAUCAUGGACCAAAAGUCAUUAUUGGUGACAAUCUUGCCUCUCAUUUUUCUCUUCCAGUCAUUGAGGCCGCUCAACUGAAUAACAUUCGUUUCACCUGUUUGGUACAAAAUGCAAGUCAUCUCCUUUAACCAAUGGAUGUCGCAGUUUUUAGAGCCAUGAAGAAAGAAUGGAAGAGAAUCCUAAAAUGUUGGCAAAAAGAAAGUCGCAUCAAAGGUACAAUACCAAAGACACGUUUUCCUGGGUUAUUGUUGAAGUUGCAUCGAAGACUAAAAAAACAAAACCUGAUUUCUGGCUUUUCGGCUUGCGGAAUAUCUCCACUAAACAGAGAUGAAGUCUUGAAAAGACUGCCAAAUGAGAACCUAGAUGUUGGUGGUGAAAAGGUUAAAGAAAUCUUUGGCACGGUUGUUCAGGAAAUGCUACAAGAUCAUUGUGGAUUCAAUAAACCGGACAAACAAACACAGAAGAGAGGAAAAAAGAUAAUUCCUGGUAAAGAAACAACAUCAAAUGAUCUCAGUGUCAUCAAAGAAACAAACGAACACAGUGUAGCGGUACUGAUACAAAAUUGUUUGUCAAAAAAAAACGAUCAAAUAAAAAAAUCCAGUCUUCAACAUCUUCAGAUAAUGAUUCUGAAAUUGAAAUGGAACUUCAAGAUGACAGUGAAAACUCUUUGGAAUCAGCUGAUAAAACAACUGACAUUCCAUUUGAACCAAAGCAAUUGGUAGUUGUAGCCUACACUGGGAACAAGUCUGUUGUCAACUACAUUGGUCAAGUUGUUGAAGUGUUCGAGAGAAUAAAACUGCUUCAUAUUAAAUUUUUGAAAAAACAACCGGCGAGUAUAUGCUUCAGAUUUAUGGAAAGUAAAGAUGAUAUCAAUGAAGCUGUUCCAUAUUCUGCUGUGGUUGAAAGAAUUUCAGAUGAACCGAGAAAAACAAGGAAUCAAUAUCGUUUCCCAUACCUGUCUCACCAAGUUAUCAACUAAAAUCAAAAGCUUUUGAUAAUUUAUAAUUUUGAGUUUGAUAUAGUUUGAUAUUUUUUGAUAUUUUUCAACCAACUUUGUAAUUUUUUUGAUAGAAUUAAGUGUACUAGACCUAUAAAUCUUUUUUAUAACCCUAAAAAACUAUCAAUGAAACCCUGUGAUGAGUUAACUUGAUAUUUGAUUGAAACAACAUUUACUAUCAAAGUAACCCCGACAUGCGGGGUUACAUUGAUAACUGUUUGGGCUUUAAAAACAAAUACAAGACAAAUUCUGAUAUUUCUAAAAAGCAUUUUUUCCUGUUAAGGAUAGAUCAUUUGGUAUAUUCAAACCAAAAACAACAGCAAUUCAUUAAAAUUCUAUCAGCACUUUUAAAAAAAGCACAAAAACCAAUCAAAGUAACCCCAGUUGACGGUACAUCUUCAGCUGUCAUGUCAAGUUGGUGGGUUAAAUAUGAUCAUUUAAAUGAGAAAAUGUAUACUAGUGCAACUUGUAAUCUGGUAAGACAAUUAUGUAUUAUGCUUUCUCUUUUUUAAUAAUUGCAUGUGAAAUUGUUGAAAAUGUCAUUUCUAUGUGUUUUCUUUUUUAUGUUGGUUGAGGGGAAGGGGGAAAACCAUCCCUCUCCUCAAAUUGUACAUCACUAAUGUAUGUUCUAUAGUAAAAAAAUAUUGCUUUAUGUAAUACAACAAUAUUUUCAAUACUAAUAUAUGUUGUAUAGUUAUAAAAGAUUAUUUUUUGUAAGGUGGGGGUAUGGGAAGAGGUGGUGCAUCAUACUUUCUUCAUUUCAAGUCAAUGUGUACAUCAAUAAUAAUGUAGAAUAGUAAUAAAAGAUUAUUUUUAAUUUUUAACAGUGGAUUUAAUUAUUGUAAUAAAGAUAAAAUUAUUUUUAUUUUUUAUGAGUCAAGGGGGGGGCGGGGACGGUGCGACAUACACCCCCCUCCCCCUAAAGUUAGUGCUGUACAUCACUAAUAAAUGUUUUAUAGUAAAAAAAAAUAUUUUUACUUUUUAACCAAAUAUUUAAUUACCGUAAAAAAAAUUAAAUUAUUUAUUAUAUUAGAAAGAAUUAUUAUUGUAUUUAGGGUAGUAACCAUAGAUGUGGUUGUGAUGUUAUAACCAUCACAACCACAUCUAUGGCCAACUCUAACGUCACGUUAUUUUGUUUGGCAGUGUUUUGGAAUCAAGUUAUGGAAAAAUUUUGUGUAUAAAAUAUAACAAUUACAUUUAAAAAGUGCUUAUUUCUGACAAAAACUUGUAUUUUCUUAAGGGUUAGAUAGUGUUUCAUUACCCCCUCUGGUUCCCAAGAUACACCCUCAUCCAGGCACCAAAAUUAACUUGUAGCCCAUUAGUGCACCUAUCUUGUGAUACCAAGAUAUAGGUAUUUGGAUAAAAAUUGACAAAGUUAUAACAAUUUAAGUAAAAAAAAUAAUUAUUUUGACCACAGUUUCUUCAACAAUUCCAUACAUCUAAAAUUUGCUACUAAUAAUGUUAUAACUUUUUUUAGAAUUGUUCGUUUUUAAUAAUUUUUUCACCUUUAAAAUACUGUAUUGAAGGCCUAUCUAAUGAUAUAUAACAUUCUACUAUAUGAUCAAUAUAAAAAUUUCAGUGC
Molecule: non-coding RNA, 3526 nt
Organism: Hydra vulgaris (swiftwater hydra)
Lineage: Eukaryota; Metazoa; Cnidaria; Hydrozoa; Anthoathecata; Hydridae
Source: RefSeq, a predicted model, not a curated record